Long non-coding RNA from Dermochelys coriacea (leatherback sea turtle), 3740 nucleotides. RefSeq lists it as uncharacterized. Lineage: Eukaryota; Metazoa; Chordata; Testudines; Dermochelyidae. The transcript has 3 exons. The record is from RefSeq and is a predicted model, not a curated record.
CCAAAGCAGACAAGCACUUAGCAUUAAAGAACACCAUUGAACAGAUUAUCAACUGUACAGUUGUCACCCUGGUCAGGUAGCUGUGAGCUCAAAGGGCUCUCCAGCCCUCCUCCUGACCUAGGACAUUACUGUUUCUGUAUGCUAAGCACGUACCAAAUAUCAGCCCAUAUCAAAGCUCUUAUUUUAAUAUUUGUUUCAGUGUAAGUCUCCUGCCUCACCCAUAUGUGAUUAAGAAAGUUGAUCAUCCUGGUGACUCUUGCUGUUUUGGGUUUUUUUUGGGUAGGUGACCUGUAUUUGAGGCAGCUACGGCCUAGACGAACCAUUUUAGCAGUAGUGCCACAUUUGUUUGUAAAUCUAUCACAAGAAGUUAUACCUGCUGAUUCUAUUCAAUCUGAAGAAAGGGCAAGCUAAGGUGCCGUAUUCAAAUAGAUGCAUCUACAUACAGAAGAAGCCUGAUUCUACACUAGCCCUUGCCUUAUUUAAAUUAUUUACAUCUCUUCCAAGUGAGAGUAAAAUGCUCCUGAGAUGGGGGUAAAUUAUCCACAACUAUUACCCCUACCCCUACCCCCACCCCCACCCCGGUUUCCUGAAUCUCUGCAUAAUGGCUGAGGCACAGGCUAGAUUCAGAGAGCAUUGCACAAAGAUAAAUGUCAAGGGUAUUUUACCCAGAAUGCUGAAUGCAAGUGUGAGUGACAGCUCCCAGCCAUCUUUAAAGAAAGGGGACUGCACAAUUCUUCAUAAACACAUCCAUAAAACACCCAAAAUACAAAGAGUGUUUGGAAUAUUUCUUAAAUAGCCUUUAAAGCCUAAAGCCAUUGGGUAAAUAAGUUUGCCAGUUUUUCUUCCUAGACAGAGUCACACAACUCUGCUGCUCAACCCGAAGGGUUCAAGUCAGACCUCGCUUUGUAUUUACGCUCUUGGCUUUGAACCUUUUCUUGGGUCACAUUUGUAAACUGAUUCCCCACAAAGGCUAGAAACUUACUUUUAUCUGAAAUGAAAACUGAGAUUCUCACCAUUGCACCAGCAGCGGUGACUUUAAGAUAAACACCACAUAUCAAACACACAUUACAAUCUAAAAUUGCAGCAUAACAUUUCUAUACUUUAGCACAGGGGUUCUCAACCUUUUUCUUUCUGAGCUCCCCCCCCAAAAUGUGAUAAAAAUGCCAGGUCCCACCUAUGGCACAACAGCUGGUUUUCUGCAUAUAAAAGCCAGGGCCGGCGUUAAGGAGGAGCAAGCAGGACAAUUGCCUGAGGUUCCAAGCCAUAGGGUGCCCCACGAAGCUAAGUUGCUCAGGCUUCUGCUUCUGCCCUGGGUGGCAGGACUCAAGGCCCCAGACUUCAGCCCUGUGCGGCAGGGCUUAGGCUUUGUGCCCUAGCCCCCAGCGAGUCUAACACUGUUCCUGCGUGGCGGACCCCCUGAAACCUACUCGCAACUCCUUAAGGGUCCCCAGACCCUUGGUUGAGAACCACAGCUUUAGCACACAUAUGUAAAAACUAGUGACCAUGCCCAGUAAGUACCAUACCUUUCUUCAGCAUGCUUAGAGGAGUCAGAAUGGCCUAGAGGAUAGAGCACUGGAGUAGGACUCAGGAGACCUGAGGUCUUGGCUCCGCUACUGGGUGAUAUUGGGCACUUCACUCCUCUGUGCCUUGGUGGUAUUUCCCCACUGUAAAAUAGGAAUAAUGAUACUGACCUCCUUUGUAAAGCACUUUGAGAACUACUGCUAAACAGUGCCAUAGAAGAGCUAAGCCCUUCUAGCUGCGUCACCUUGCCCUACUCGCUGCACGUGUGCAGGGACACAGACAAUUUGAAGAAAUCCAUUCCUGCUCCCACGGCUUCUCCCGAUUCCUGUACAGAAAAAGAAAAGCUGCAUUAUAAAGCCUGUGCGUUACGCUACCAUUCUGACUGUAGCAUUUUUCACCCACGUAGACCAGAUGUGACUGACCUCGCAAGGUAGGAGAGAAUCAAGCCCAAGGUGUUUCUUAAAACUUCUCUAGAUUAAGGAGCUACAAGUUUUGAGAUUGAAUAUAAAAACAUGGAGAAGUAUUUGGGCUGUCUACCUUAAAGGACCUUGCAGCGGGAUAAUACCUUGAGUCAGUAACCCCUGAAGGCCUAUCCCAGGGCUAGAGUGUAGCUGCCUGUUUAGCAAGUGCUCAGGAUGGGGGUUGGGGGGAAGCACAGGGCACAAGGAAUCUUUCCCCUUGCAUGACUCAAGCUGAAGCCAGGGGGAGUACUUUAGGGAAUAAAAGGAUUGCCUCCAGCAGUACAUCUAUGGAAGUACACACCACAUUCAAGAGUGGAAAAUAGAGCAUCAUGUGCUUGGAUAGGGAUUCUGCAUAGUGCCUCAGUGAACUCCCUCCGAACUGGUGCAGCUGGGCACCAUCUCCUAUUCUGGCCUGUGUCUAAAAGGCACAAUUUAGAUCCAAGUGAGCUAUUUGGAUUUUUGACUGCAGUCAAUAUAGAGAGGGCAGAAGGACUGAAUUGCCCAACCUCCCACCUUUCUGAUGCUUCUUUGGGAUCUUUUCAAACACAAACCACAAGGUAGGGUGGGAGAUUCAGAGAUAUAAACAAGCAGGACUAGUCAAGGACUGUAGUACCUUCAUUUGCCAAAGCAUGUAGGGAACAGGAACUCAAACAAAAGCAAAGCAACAUAAGGCAGCUUUGGGGAUCUGAAAAGAACCCAAAGCUGUCAUGAGAGUUGAAUAAUAUAGUUUACUAUAACACACACACACAGAGACAGACCCCUGCUCCUGCUAAAGCUGCAAUCAAAAAUAUCAGAAUAUAACCACUGCUGUAUUCCUGAGCUGACAAAGGCCCUGAGUGAGCAAGACAGCUGAGCACAUGCCUAACUUUACCACUAGCCUCAAUGAAGUCAAAUGGAAUUACUCAUGUGUUUGAAGUCAGGUUAAGUACCUUGCUGUAUUGGGGACCACAGGCAUUCUGUACAAGGGGAGGAAAGUAAGGAGUUCAGUGCUUCCAAUACUCUUCUCAAUGGUUGGAUGCUCAUUCCACAUCAAACUUCAGCUGUUUGAAGUUUCCCCACCGUGAAGUUGUCUCCAGUGCUGGAAUGGGGGUGGCAGGCACCAUAGGGAAGAGCAGUUACACAGCAGCAUCUCUCUCCCCCUGCAGACCUGCCAGAACCUCUUGUAGGAACAAUACACAAUCCCAUCAGUGUGGGAUCAAAAUGAGUCACUAGCUGGACACAUUCAAGAAACAGCUCUCCACAGUCUUCUCCCCUGAAGCAGAGAGGUGAGUGCUGAAGGGUUUGGGAGAGCAUUCCUGUCAUAAAUAUAAAGGGAAAGGUAAACACCUUUAAAAUCCCUCCUGGCCAGAGGAAAAACCCUUUCACCUGUAAAGGGUUAAGAAGCUAGGAUAAUCUUGCUGGCACCUGACCAAAAUGACCAAUGAGGAGACAAGAUACUUUCAAAAGCUGGAGUGGGGGAGAAACAAAGGCUUUCUCUGUCUGUGUGAUGCUUUUGCCAGGAACAGAACAGGAAUGAAGUCUUAGAACUUACUAAGUAAUCUAGCUAGAUAUGCGUUAGAUUCAGUUUUGUUUAAAUGGCUGAGAAAAUAAGCUGUGCUGAAUAAAAUGGAUAUUCCUGUUUUUGUGUCUUUUUGUAACUUAAGGUUUUACCUAGAAGGAUUCUCUAUGUUUUGAAUCUGAUUACCCUGUAAGGUAUUUACCAUCCUGAUUUUACAGAGGUGAUUCUUUUACUUUUUCUUCUAUUAAAAUUCUUCUUAU